This 383-nucleotide ribosomal RNA is filed under the name uncultured archaeon. Its description in RNAcentral is "bacterial SSU rRNA". It matches the Rfam family "Archaeal small subunit ribosomal RNA", at positions 345 to 727 of the family's 1478-position model. The record is from RNAcentral.
AAACUUUACAAUGCUGGCAACAGCGAUAAGGGGACCUCGAGUGCCAGGAUACAAUCUUGGCUGUCGUAAUGCCUAAAAAGCAUUGCAUAGCAAGGGCCGGGCAAGACCGGUGCCAGCCGCCGCGGUAACACCGGCGGCUCGAGUGGUAACCGCUAUUAUUGGGUCUAAAGGGUCUGUAGCCGGCCGGAUAAGUCUCUUGGGAAAUCCAGCAGCUCAACUGUUGGGCUUUCAGGAGAUACUGUUUCGGCUCGAGGCCGGGAGAGGUGAGAGGUACUUCAGGGGUAGGGGUGAAAUCUUGUAAUCCUUGAAGGACCACCAGUGGCGAAGGCGUCUCACCAGAACGGUCCUGACGGCAAGGGACGAAAGCUAGGGGCACGAACCGG